Molecule: long non-coding RNA, 2260 nt
Organism: Halichondria panicea
Lineage: Eukaryota; Metazoa; Porifera; Demospongiae; Suberitida; Halichondriidae
Exons: 15
Source: RefSeq, a predicted model, not a curated record
CUCUGGAGUUAUUACACUUUCCAGAUUGUGGCAAUGGACUCUGAUGAAUGGACCAACGGUAGAUUACGUCAUGAGGAGGCUGAGAGCCUGCAGGUGGGUGGGGCUCACACACACAAGCCCCAUGCAGUAUGCACACGUACACAGUACAGUGCUAGACGCUCAAGUAUCCACUGCAGCAUGUAGACUAGAUCUACUGUUGAUUGAAGCAUAGAUAGUAGAAGAAGUAAGGGAGUAAUCUCUCGAAACAUGUCUGUCGAUUCCUCUACUAUAUAUCUAUAAUUGAAGCAACAAUUUAAGAAAGGUAUGGAACAGCUGGUCCAGGUCUCCUUGGUGUCGUCCUUUCACUCCCUACACAAAGUACAAGUGUUUAAACAUUCUCGGUAUGGCUCCGUUGGUAUCAGCCGUAUCCGAGCUCAUUUAAAAGCUUGGUGUCUUCGUUGGCAUCAGGAAAACCUGCUCGUUAGUCCAUACAGGAGGCCGUUUCUGGAAACUAGGUGGACCAACGGCCUGGACGACAAUUUGGUGUGAUUAUGAGCUCAUUUCAAAGCUUGGUGUCUCCGUUGGCAUCAUUAUAAACUGGAAAUCCUGCUUGUUGGUCUAUGAGGUUUCCUGUUUCUGGAAACUGGAUGGACCAACGGCCUGGACGACAAUUUGGUGUGAUUAUGAGCUCAUUUCAAAGCUUGGUGUCUCCGUUGGCAUCAUUAUAAACUGGAAAUCCUGCUUGUUGGUCUAUGAGGUUUCCUGUUUCUGGAAACUGGAUAGACCAACGGCCUGGACGACAAUUUGGUGUGAUUAUGAGCUCAUUUCAAAGCUUGGUGUCUCCGUUGCAUCAUUAUAAACUGGAAAUCCUGCUUGUUGGUCUAUGAGGUUUCCUGUUUCUGGAAACUGGAUGGACCAACGGCCUGGACGACAAUUUGGUGUGAGCAAGCUUGCAUGGUGUCUCCGUUGGCAUCAUUAAACUGGAAAACCUGCUCGUUGAUCCAUAUAAGGUUUCAUGUUUCUGGAAACUGGGUGGACAAUUAAUGGCCUGAACGACAAGUAAGAAAAUAGUUCACGCACUUUCUUUUAAUGUGUUCCAGGUUGGUGUGAGCUUCAAAGCUUGCAUGGUGUCUCCGUUGGCAUCUUUAAACUAGAAAACCUGCUCGUUGGUCCAUAAGAUGUCCUGCUUCUGGAAACUAGGUGGACCAACGGCCUGGACGACAAGUAAGAAAUAGUUCACGCAGCUUGAAUGCAAUGUGUUCCAGGUUGGUGUCAGCUCAUUUCAAAGCUUAGUGUCUCUUGUUUGCAUCAAUUAAGGAAACUAGGUGGACCAACGGCCUGGACGACAAUUGGUUGUCAGAGCUUGGUGGCUCUCCGUUGGCAUCAUGCAGUUAUACUAAUAAACCUGGACGUUGGCCCAUAACCUUUUCUGUUUUGGAAACUGGGUGGACCAACGGCCUGGACGACACUGACAGGUGGGUAUCAGCUCAUUUCAAAUGCUGCAUGCAUGGUGGCUUUGUUGGAAACUCGAAAACCUGUUUCCUGCAUGGUCUAUCAGAAUAUCAUAUCCAGCCGGAAAUUGGAUAGACAACAGCCUAUACGACAGCUGCAUCUACAGACUCUAUUAUACAUCAGACUGAAUGAAAGCCUCACUGCGACUCUGUAUGCUGAAAUCUACAAUGACAUUAAGGAUUCUGUUUCCGUGUAGAGUAAGAGGCUGGCACGGGAUUCUUGUUGCUGUCAAUCUCCCAAAGAAAACUGUCUAUGUUCUUGACUCCCAGUCGCCAAUUCUCUCACCUUUUACUGAGCAGGCAACAUGCAUGCACAAGACAUUAAUCAAUUCUUAAGCAUGUGCAUUCGAUCACCUGCAAAGAUGGAUAUACAGUGUGUGAAGGUGGCCGCUCAGGAUGGAGUUGAAUGUGGCAUUCAUGUGAUACACAAUAAUUAUUAUGACAAUGGUCAAGUUUUCUGGACUACCUGCAUCAAAGCACCUGCAAAAGUCUGUAAACACUGCUGAAUUACGUGGAUUGAUCCUGUUAUCAUGCUACUCCACUCAACAAAGCCAAAAGACAUCUCACGGCGUCAGAAGGAGUAAAAGGGUUGCUAAUACAGAUCUGCAGACUGAUGAUGAUGCCAGUGUAUCUGUUAAGAAGACAGCAAAAUCGAAGCCUUAACUGCUAUUUUUACUUAACAUUAAUUGUAUAGCUUGUAGUAUAGAUCAGAAUGUUUAUUUUUUAUUGUAUAUAAUUAUGUGCAAUAAUAUAGUUACUAGUUUCCCUCA